Molecule: small nuclear RNA, 132 nt
Organism: Rattus norvegicus (Norway rat)
Lineage: Eukaryota; Metazoa; Chordata; Mammalia; Rodentia; Muridae
Product: U2 spliceosomal RNA
Source: Ensembl
AUAACUUCUCAGCCUUUUGGUUAGGAUCAAGUAUAGUGUCUGUUCUUAUCAACACAAUUUUAGAAGACAAAAAUCACCUGCAUAACAGUUCUGAUAAAUAUACUUUGAAACAGUUUAGUGAUAAGAACAAUA